Molecule: long non-coding RNA, 232 nt
Filed under: Lathyrus oleraceus (garden pea)
Lineage: Eukaryota; Viridiplantae; Streptophyta; Magnoliopsida; Fabales; Fabaceae
Description: Pisum sativum (pea) long non-coding RNA (PSAT_LNC029476)
Source: RNAcentral
CUGUGGAUAAUGCCUUCUAUUCCCCAGCAGAUCUAGGGGUUGCCUAUCCCCAGCAGGCCUAUAUUUGCCGUUUUCCCCAGUUGAGUUCUCAGCUGAGUUUGAAGAUGGGUUAUACCCACUGAGUUGGAAGGAUGUUGUAUCUCCCAGCGGAGGUAUCAGUGGAGUAGUUUAUCCCCCAGCAGUCUGGUUUGAGGUGUCACCAUCCCCAGCAGUCUAGUUUGAAGUACUGUUA